GGGGACGAAAGGAUUUCGACGGGGGUCUUGAAGCGUUGGAAGCGAGCAGCGGUGCGGACCCGCUCUAAAAGCCGCAGUUUAGAAAUAAACGACAACGAAACACAACUUUUAGCUGCUUAACCCUAACGGGUUAACAGCCGUCCUUCCCGGGAAUACCGCAGCUCGGAGCGGGAUGUCAUUGAGCGGUGCACGUGCAUGAGCGGGACGCCUUGCCCCUCAUCAUGAAGAUACACGGCUACCGCAGCGCACAGCCUGCCCGCCGGCGGUGCGUGAGGGGAAUCUGAAAAAACGGGCUACGCUCGAAGAAACCGGCGCGGAUGGGCUUCCGGACGCGGCUUCGAUUGCCGCCGUCUCCACCA
RNAcentral lists this transfer-messenger RNA (359 nucleotides) under Oscillospiraceae bacterium. It matches the Rfam family "transfer-messenger RNA". From Rfam's summary of the family: Bacterial tmRNA, also known as 10Sa RNA or SsrA, is named for its dual tRNA and mRNA-like properties. Its role is to liberate the mRNA from a stalled ribosome. The record is from RNAcentral. Lineage: Bacteria; Bacillati; Bacillota; Clostridia; Eubacteriales; Oscillospiraceae.